GAUGAAGAACGUAGCGAAAUGCGAUAAGUAAUGUGAAUUGCAGAUUUCAGUGAAUCAUCGAAUCUUUGAACGCACAUUGCGCCCUUUGGUAUUCCGAAGGGCAUGCCUGUUCGAGCGUCAUUAUCACCCCUCAAGCCCUCGGCUUGGUGUUGGACGGUUUGGUGGAGGCCCCCUCGGGGGCUCCUGCCCCUCCCAAAGACAAUGACGGCGGCCUCGUUGGACCCCCGGUACACUGAGUUCUUCACGGGACACGUAUCGGACACAUGGGUUUACGGGACACGGUCUGCCUCCCCUCAGGGAGAAUCUUUCUAAGGUUGACCUCGGAUCAGGUAGGGAUACCCGCUGAACUUAAGCAUAUCAAUAAGCGGAGGA
This 372-nucleotide unclassified non-coding RNA is filed under the name soil metagenome. RNAcentral describes it as "partial contains 5.8S ribosomal RNA, internal transcribed spacer 2, and large subunit ribosomal RNA". The stretch from base 1 to 120 matches the Rfam family "5.8S ribosomal RNA", at positions 35 to 154 of the family's 154-position model. The record is from RNAcentral.